Molecule: ribosomal RNA, 496 nt
Filed under: uncultured bacterium
Lineage: Bacteria
Description: partial 16S ribosomal RNA
Rfam family: Bacterial small subunit ribosomal RNA
Source: RNAcentral
GAUGAACGCUGGCGGCGUGCCUAAUACAUGCAAGUCGAGCGAACAGACGAGGAGCUUGCUCCUCUGACGUUAGCGGCGGACGGGUGAGUAACACGUGGAUAACCUACCUAUAAGACUGGGAUAACUUCGGGAAACCGGAGCUAAUACCGGAUAAUAUAUUGAACCGCAUGGUUCAAUAGUGAAAGACGGUUUUGCUGUCACUUAUAGAUGGAUCCGCGCCGCAUUAGCUAGUUGGUAAGGUAACGGCUUACCAAGGCAACGAUGCGUAGCCGACCUGAGAGGGGUGUGGGCCAAACGCGAACCAGAACAGGGCCCAGACCCCUACGGGAGGCAGAAGGGGGGAAUCUGCCGCAAGGGGUGAAAGCCGGGCGGAAGACCGACGGGGGGGUGACGAAGGUCUUAGGAUGGUAAACGUCUUUUAAACGGGAAAAAAAAAGGUGAAAGUACCUUGGAACGUUAUGACGGUACCUAAUCAAAAAGCCGCGGCUAACCCGGU